CCUACGGGAGGCAGCAGUGAGGAAUAUUGGUCAAUGGGCGCGAGCCUGAACCAGCCAAGUAGCGUGAAGGAUGACUGCCCUACGGGUUGUAAACUUCUUUUAUAAAGGAAUAAAGUGAGGCACGUGUGCCGUUUUGUAUGUACUUUAUGAAUAAGGAUCGGCUAACUCCGUGCCAGCAGCCGCGGUAAUACGGAGGAUCCGAGCGUUAUCCGGAUUUAUUGGGUUUAAAGGGAGCGUAGAUGGGUUGGUAAGGCAGUGGGGAAAGUUUGCGGCUCAACCGUAAAAUUGCCAUUGAUACUGGCAGUCUUGCGUACAGUUGCGGUCGGCGGAAUUCGUGGUGUAGCGGU
RNAcentral lists this ribosomal RNA (347 nucleotides) under uncultured bacterium. RNAcentral's name for it is "partial 16S ribosomal RNA". It matches the Rfam family "Bacterial small subunit ribosomal RNA", at positions 338 to 682 of the family's 1533-position model. The record is from RNAcentral.